AUGAACGCUAGCGGCAGGCUUAACACAUGCAAGUCGAGGGGCAGCACGGGUAGCAAUACCUGGUGGCGACCGGCGCAAGGGUGCGUAACGCGUGAGCAACAUGCCCUAUACAGGGGGAUAAUCCAGGGAAACUUGGUCUAAUAUCCCAUAGUAUUUAGAGGAGGCAUCUUCUAUAAAUUAAAGCUUCGGUGGUAUAGGAUUGGCUCGCGUGACAUUAGCUAGAUGGUGAGGUAACGGCUCACCAUGGCAAUGAUGUCUAGGGGUUCUGAGAGGAAGGUCCCCCACACUGGAACUGAGACACGGUCCAGACUCCUACGGGAGGCAGCAGUGAGGAAUAUUGGACAAUGGUCGGAAGACUGAUCCAGCCAUGCCGCGUGAAGGUUACUGUCCUAUGGAUAUUAAACUUCUUUUUUACGGGAGCAAUAAGGUGCACGCGUGCAUCGAUGAGAGUACCGUACGAAUAAGCAUCGGCUAACUCCGUG
RNAcentral lists this ribosomal RNA (482 nucleotides) under uncultured bacterium. Its description in RNAcentral is "bacterial SSU rRNA". It matches the Rfam family "Bacterial small subunit ribosomal RNA", at positions 29 to 507 of the family's 1533-position model. The record is from RNAcentral.